GCGAUGGCCGCGCCGAACCCCGCGGACCCCCCGUCCCGGGAACCGGGGCCCGAUCUCUGCCGCGGGAGUCUUCGUCCCCGGCAUGGACGGAAGGGCGACUCCGGCCCGAACCCGGCAGCUCACCCGGUAGGCGGCAGAGGAGAGGACAG
Molecule: small RNA, 149 nt
Filed under: Actinomadura sp.
Lineage: Bacteria; Bacillati; Actinomycetota; Actinomycetes; Streptosporangiales; Thermomonosporaceae
Description: c-di-AMP sequence
Rfam family: c-di-AMP riboswitch aptamer (ydaO/yuaA leader)
About the family: This family represents a conserved RNA structure found upstream of the ydaO and yuaA genes in Bacillus subtilis and related genes in other bacteria. The ydaO/yuaA element is thought to act as a genetic "off" switch for the ydaO and yuaA genes in its native state.
Source: RNAcentral